This 477-nucleotide ribosomal RNA is filed under the name Rhodococcus sp. 13(2011). RNAcentral's name for it is "bacterial SSU rRNA". It matches the Rfam family "Bacterial small subunit ribosomal RNA", at positions 307 to 796 of the family's 1533-position model. The record is from RNAcentral. RNAcentral also lists the same sequence under 5 other names. Lineage: Bacteria; Bacillati; Actinomycetota; Actinomycetes; Mycobacteriales; Nocardiaceae.
GCCACACUGGGACUGAGACACGGCCCAGACUCCUACGGGAGGCAGCAGUGGGGAAUAUUGCACAAUGGGCGAAAGCCUGAUGCAGCGACGCCGCGUGAGGGAUGACGGCCUUCGGGUUGUAAACCUCUUUCAGCAGGGACGAAGCGCAAGUGACGGUACCUGCAGAAGAAGCACCGGCUAACUACGUGCCAGCAGCCGCGGUAAUACGUAGGGUGCAAGCGUUGUCCGGAAUUACUGGGCGUAAAGAGUUCGUAGGCGGUUUGUCGCGUCGUUUGUGAAAACCAGCAGCUCAACUGCUGGCUUGCAGGCGAUACGGGCAGACUUGAGUACUGCAGGGGAGACUGGAAUUCCUGGUGUAGCGGUGAAAUGCGCAGAUAUCAGGAGGAACACCGGUGGCGAAGGCGGGUCUCUGGGCAGUAACUGACGCUGAGGAACGAAAGCGUGGGUAGCGAACAGGAUUAGAUACCCUGGUAGUCC